CGCGGCCUAUCAGCUUGUUGGUGAGGUAAUGGCUCACCAAGGCGACGACGGGUAGCCGGCCUGAGAGGGCGACCGGCCACACUGGGACUGAGACACGGCCCAGACUCCUACGGGAGGCAGCAGUGGGGAAUAUUGCACAAUGGGCGAAAGCCUGAUGCAGCGACGCCGCGUGAGGGAUGACGGCCUUCGGGUUGUAAACCUCUUUCAGCAGGGAAGAAGCGAAAGUGACGGUACCUGCAGAAGAAGCGCCGGCUAACUACGUGCCAGCAGCCGCGGUAAUACGUAGGGCGCAAGCGUUGUCCGGAAUUAUUGGGCGUAAAGAGCUCGUAGGCGGCUUGUCACGUCGGGUGCGAAAGCCCGGGGCUUAACCCCGGGUCUGCAUUCGAUACGGGCUAGCUAGAGUGUGGUAGGGGAGAUCGGAAUUCCUGGUGUAGCGGUGAAAUGCGCAGAUAUCAGGAGGAACACCGGUGGCGAAGGCGGAUCUCUGGGCCAUUACUGACGCUGAGGAGCGAAAGCGUGGGGAGCGAACAGGAUUAGAUACCCUGGUAGUCCACGCCGUAAACGGUGGGAACUAGGUGUUGGCGACAUUCCACGUCGUCGGUGCCGCAGCUAACGCAUUAAGUUCCCCGCCUGGGGAGUACG
Molecule: ribosomal RNA, 642 nt
Filed under: uncultured bacterium
Lineage: Bacteria
Description: bacterial SSU rRNA
Rfam family: Bacterial small subunit ribosomal RNA
Source: RNAcentral